This is a long non-coding RNA of Haliotis rubra (blacklip abalone), 118 nucleotides long. RefSeq lists it as uncharacterized. The transcript has 5 exons. The record is from RefSeq and is a predicted model, not a curated record. Lineage: Eukaryota; Metazoa; Mollusca; Gastropoda; Lepetellida; Haliotidae.
UCCAAUUAAUCAUCACUUUGCUUUUUAAGUAAAUAACAAUGUUUAACAUAUCUAUUACAAUUCAUACCGACUAUCAUUAACCAAAAGCUUAUAACUCUUAGCUGUUGGUAAAUAAACA